Molecule: ribosomal RNA, 523 nt
Filed under: Guibemantis punctatus
Lineage: Eukaryota; Metazoa; Chordata; Amphibia; Anura; Mantellidae
Description: partial 16S ribosomal RNA
Rfam family: Bacterial large subunit ribosomal RNA
Source: RNAcentral
CCUGCCCAGUGAUAAAAUUCAACGGCCGCGGUACCCUAACCGUGCGAAGGUAGCAUAAUCACUUGUUCUUUAAAUAAGGACUUGUAUCAACGGCACCACGAGGGUUAAACUGUCUCCUUUUUCAUAUCAGUGAAACUAAUCUUCCCGUGAAGAAACGGGAAUAAUUUUAUAAGACGAGAAGACCCCAUGGAGCUUUAAACCCAACUACACUCCGCCAAACCUUACCUUUAAGCCUCUCGGAACCUGUAUGUUCAGGUUUUAGGUUGGGGUGACCGCGGAGCACAAACUAGCCUCCACAAUGAAUAGACUCCCUCUUUAUCUAAGAUUUACAUCUCUAAGAAUUAGUAUUCUAACAUAAAAUGAUCCGAUAUUCGAUCAACGAACCAAGUUACCCUGGGGAUAACAGCGCAAUCUACUUCAAGAGCCCCUAUCGACAAGUAGGUUUACGACCUCGAUGUUGGAUCAGGGUAUCCCAGUGGUGCAGCAGCUACUAAAGGUUCGUUUGUUCAACGAUUAAAACCCU